GAGAGCUCAGCUACACUGAGGUCUUUUGGAGAUUCUUUAAGCUCCACUUAUACUGGAAGGCAAAAUGGUGUUAGUUAUCUGCAGGUGAAGUCCUGGGGAACUCACAGAUUAUGUAAAGACAGCUGCUGAGAGAGACGUGUUUGCUUGGGCCUAGGAAGAGAAAACCUAGUGGAUAUCUCACUGCUGCCUAUAAGUUUACUUAGUGUAGAGGAGAUGGAGCUCUUGGAAUGUCAGUGAGCAUCUUUUUGUGGAACCUCAAAGCUGUGCUCAUGGUGAAAGAAAGUAACAACACUGCUCUAGAAAGAAGAAACUCUCAGAUGUAAUCCUGAAAUAAACUACCAGCAAAACACAGAGAGGAAGAUAACUAAGCCAUUAAUGAAACUGCCCAAGAGAAGAAGGCUCUUCAGUAGUGAAUGAUAACUGAGUUUGUGAGAAACUCAAAAAACAUCCUGAGGAAAGUAUGAGAAAGCCAUGACAUAUCUAAUAGAUAUCAAUAAGGUGAAAAGCCCAAUUACCCAAAUAGAAAGUGAAUAUAUGGACUAAUCUUCAAAGACUGAAUUUGACAUUUUGAUGAUUUUUUGUUUGCUUUCUGAGCAUCUGCUGAGACCACAUAUUUUAAGCAAUACUUAGGAAAGCUAAUCUAAAGAUUGCACUUUCCUGAUGCACUGGUGGAGGAGCAUGACACACAAAAAGAAGAGGCUUGUAUGAAGCAGUGACCAGUUCAGCUCCUCCUGCUGCAGUCCUGGAAGGUUACACUGCUCUUCUGCAGGAACAGAAGCUCCUUAGGGGCAGAGUUAAGCUGGGGUGGAAACUGCUCCAGCUGCCUUAUUUCUGAGUCAUCCCUGCCCAAAUGUUCCUUCUCACCUUUGUGCCUUAAACAUGCAUGAUGUCACCUGGAACAGGACAGGACAAAGCUCCUUCCCUCCUGCUCUACAAAGAUACCCACUGUUCCUCAUGUCAGGUUGAUAUUUAUUGCACUAGAAACAUUCCACUGUGUAAGAGGAUCACAGACCAGCUGAGGCAGGAAGGCACCUGUGAAGUUCUUCUGGUCCAAAUAUCUGCUCAAAGACAAGUCUGUGAAAGCAAGUUGUUCAGGACAGUGUCCAUUUGAUUUUGAGUGUCUUCAAGGCUGGAGCAGAGUGGAAGGAUCAGCUCUCUCAAACUGCAGACAAUGCUCUUCCUAAUGCAGGACAAGAUAAUAUUUGCCUUCUUUCUACAGUGACACACUUGUAAUUUAAAUUUUUAAAUCUAAAAUGCUCCCUCUUAUUUCUAAAUUGUUGUAUUGUUUCUGUCCCAGUCCUCCUCAGUAGGUAUAUACAUCUUCCAUUAAUCCCCUAAGUACCACUCCACAUGUACACUUCUCAUUAACUCACAGAGUUCCAUCCUAAAGUAAAUAUGUUUGUUUUCUUCAGAAACCACACUGGAUCAAUUUUUCUGAAAUUGUUUUCUUCUUAUUCGUGUAACUAAAUAACCUUCUCCUUCCAGUCUUCCAAGCAAAAUCUUGGUUGUAGCCUCCAUCUAAAAAAGCUUCCCUGGUUCUCCAUGCCUAAUUGCUCAAUUUCAUGUUUUUCUGCCCUUUUCCAGCAAUCACCUCUUUCAAAAAAAUCAACUCAGUGGUCCUUUGCUUUCAAUCUGCUUUUCAGAAAGUUUUCCAUUAAAACAUUCCUCCCUCUCACUUCCUUUGGCAGGUCUUAUGUCCCUGGAUAAUGCUCAGCAGCAGCAAGCUAUGCUCAGCAUCAUUUCUUAGCAGAUGGAAGCAGUGAUUUGUCCACACUUUUUCCAGACCCUCACAUUCUCUGCUUUUCCUGUUUUUCUUUACUUAUGGCAUGGUUGUCCAGGAUUACAUAAUUCAAAAAACCCCCCGUGGGCAGUGACAGCUUCUGGUUUGCACGGACCAAACUUCAGGAGGGUUUUCUCCCAUUGUUUUGUUAAAAGUACUCAGCAGAUCAAUUGCUUAUUCUGUUACUAAUUCCAGACAAAAUUUUCAAAUUAAUAUUAGUGACAUAGACUUUAAAAUAGCUGUAAAAGUUGACCACUGGAAAGAUGAAAGAGAAAGAAAGUGAGGAAUGUAGAAAUCAGAAUCAAAUGAAGAGCCAGUACUUGAGGAAAAAACCCCAUGAAAAUCACAGGAUGGCUCUACCUAGAAAUUACAGACAUGUGCCAAUACAGCUAAAGAAACCAGACUGUGGUAACACUUUUUAGAUUUCUGCAAUUUUUUGUGGUAUUUUGAUAUACUAACAAAAAGAAUUCCUUUCUUAGUAGCUUGACCUUUCAAUUUUAUUGUUACACAGAUGCAUAGAGACCCCUAAAAACCAAAGCCCUCAUCUAUUGCUCAGUCCUGUUUUACAGAUAAAAGCUCUUUGCCUGAUGGUAAAGCCUGACCACUACUGAGUAGUUGUCAAAGAACCAAAAAGUGCAUUAGCAGCUGGGCAUGUGAUUUAUUUUUAACAAAGACCCAAUGCAAGCACUGGAAUUAGGGUAUGUAUCAUAUGACAGGAUUUUGUACAGGUAGGCAGUCUUUCAGAUGAGCUUUGUUCUUCUUGGAAAUGACACUUGAAACUUUUAUAAUAUGAUUAACAAGUUCUUCCUUAGGAAGAUCCUGUUUUAUCCUAGAGGGUGUGUCUAGCCACAGUGGGAAUAUGGCAGAAAGCCAGGAAGGAAACUGCAAAUACUGUAAGUGCACUUGUCCUGCAGAGAUGAAUAGUCUUCCUUAUCCUCAAGGUGCAGCCAGGUGAAGGAACAAGCUCCUCCUCUUAUCAGCUGGGAUUUGCUGAGGCUUAGAGUUUAUUAGAUCUGGAGACCUGCUAAGAAGGGAGUCAUGAGCUCACCCAGAGGCAAGAAAGCAGGAAAAGAUUCUUGUGAAAAGAAAGUCAAGCUCUGUCAAAAUUGGUAAAAACACUUCAGUUCUGCUGCCCUCUCCCUAGGAUGGUGUGGGCUGCUGGAAUCUCUGCUUUAGGCACUGCAUCUGUAAAAAGACUCCUUCAAUAAAAGGUGGAGGCAGCAAAAAUAUUUCCUUCCCAACCUACUGGUUAGUUUUAUCAGUAAUGCAAUGGUAUGCCUUUUUAUCUGAUAGGUAGGAUGAAAUUAGCUUCUACUUAAUUAAGUGAGCAUGUGUGAAUAAUCAUUUCAGACUAAUGAAGCCAGGAAUGCAGUGUAACAUCCCAGGGGUUUCCUAUGGUAGCAAGUGAUCUGACAUAGUCAGGAACUCAAGCUCAUUUUCAUUCUGCAAGAGAUGCCUUAGAUUCAGGGAUUUGGGGUAGCUGCUUUAUUUGUGUGAGACCUGAGUUACUAAUUUUGAUCACUUCUAUUUGCUAUGCACACUCAGGUUUAUAAUUUUUUUUUUUUACGUUGCUGAAAUUAUUUAUGUGAAUUUCAAUCAUUUAAAGAAGUUUUUAAUGUAUGAAAAUCAUUAAAUAAAUCUAAAACUGAGAUAAAUCACCAAACCUUCAGUGUAUAUGGACAUAUUUUGAAAAUUUAAAUGCGUAGAGAGGAAUGAUAUAUCUUGAGCAAAAAUCACCCUCUCCCUCCCCAAAAAAGGUAAUUGCUAAACUUCUCUAAAAAUCAGCUUUUAAAGGAAUGAUGAGACCUACCAGAGCACAAAUUCUGUGAAAGGAUUUGAACUAUUGUGUGCAUCCUGGGAAGCUUGAGAAAUGACCCCAAAAGACUGUCUAACAAGAUCUGGAAGGUGCAAACAUGAGAGUUUUAGGUGCUGAUAACGCCUUUUGCUGAGCUGGGUGGUGAGCUGGGGAAUAAUAUGGUUCAGUGCUUGAGGAGCAGUUGUGGUUUGCACUCUUCCCAGUGUGCUGAGAGCCAGGCAGCCUCAGCUGCUGAGCAGCCUCUCUGCUGCUGACUGAAAUGCAUCAGACCCUGGAGUGUUUCAGUCAGCAGCACAGAGCAGGACAUGCACAGUAUCCGUGGUGUGCAUCAGGAUUUCAGUAAAUCUAUUUCUAUGCAUCUGCACACUGUAGACCACCUUUUCUGCAUGUUGUUAUUUGAGGGUGCUAAAAAGUAGGUGGCAUUUAGAUUUAGAUAUUCUUGUUGUUGGUUUAAAACCAUCCAUUUCUAAGUUAUCACGGUACAAGUUAGGAGACAAAAAAAAAAAAAAAGAAAA
This is a long non-coding RNA of Oenanthe melanoleuca, 4111 nucleotides long. RefSeq lists it as uncharacterized. NCBI's taxonomy places the organism in Eukaryota, Metazoa, Chordata, Aves, Passeriformes, Muscicapidae. The transcript has 6 exons. The record is from RefSeq and is a predicted model, not a curated record.